This 1574-nucleotide long non-coding RNA is filed under the name Cricetulus griseus (Chinese hamster). RNAcentral describes it as "lncRNA (ENSCGRG00015034727.1)". Lineage: Eukaryota; Metazoa; Chordata; Mammalia; Rodentia; Cricetidae. The record is from RNAcentral.
CCCAUGCCCAAGAAUAGCAAGCGAGUAAAACCCCAACACACACACACACACACACACACACACACACACACACACACACACACAGUCAGCAGUGGAGCAGGGGGAGGGCGCGGCUAGCGGACCCAAGCCCUCUGGGCAGGCUGCAGCAGUCACAGCAUUCUAAAGGCAUUGGGGUCGAAUACACUUACGAUGAAUCUAGGGGAACGGUCGGCCUGAUUGCCUUUCAAAUACCUCGAGUGGCUUCGUUGACCGGCACCCUCCAAACUCACAAGGGCACGCACGCUACUUGCAAGCAUCCCAGAGGAGGGUGGGAGGGAGGGAGGAAAGGAGGGAGAAGGAGAGGGAGAGGGGUGGGGGGAGAGCGAGCAGCCGCAGCAAGCGGUCCGUCUCGCACGCGCGGGCCCCGCGCUGGUACAGGGCUGCAGGUUUCCCAGAUGAUGGCAUCCGAGAACUUAAACAAAGAGGGUCGCCACCGGCGCGCGGCGGCUGCACAAAGUUGCAGUGGCGGAUUUCCAAGAAGCUUGGCCACCGGAGCUCUGGGCGAAGCAAGCCUCCCUUUCCCACCUCCGGCAAGACGGAGACCCGGGCUCGCGCGGGGAGGAAAGAGGAAACUUUGAAACCAUUGGGGACACAUCUGUCUAUAGACCAAUCGCGAAGGCAGGGAGCAGCGGAGGGACGGCAGACGUUUGGGCCGGACACUAAGAACAACUGCGGGGAAAAAAAUAAAACACCAACCCCAACCUUCAGCAACAAGGAAAGAUGUCGCACCAGACCGUGACUGUUGCGAGGAAAAUGAAAAGGGACUCUUGUUUCAGAGACAUCCAAGAGCUCCGGCAAUAGCAACUUCAGAGAAAUGCACCAUCGCAAGAAGUUUUCCUAGGACAGAACAAAACUUGAAAGGAGAGGACCAGAGUGGGAGAACAGGAGCCAGCCUCCCCACUCCACAGACGCCAGACGCCAGUAUCACCACGCCUGUAAGGACCAGAAAAGUUUUACUAUGCUAAGGAGAAACAGUGAAAUGUGUUGCUGAAAAGCAGAGAAGCCAGCGGACCAGCAAGGAGCGGCCCGAUUGCUGGCCACCCACGAUUUGGCCAAGGAAGAAAGGAACCGCUUCGUCCUUUGUUGUCUCCCGUGAAACCUUUGCUUAGCAGGUGGACAGAGCCCCGCGCCGGGGCAGAGUCCGCACCCGCCAGAGGACGAGGACAAGAGGAACAACCGGAGCCCCUGCGCCCGGAGAGAGCGCCCGAAGUACGGGUCCCCGCCCCACUGGGCGAGCCUUGCUGGAGCGAGCCGAUUGCUCCCGGCCAGGGGGGAGACCACGACCCCCCCUGAAAGGGCUGGCCACGGAGCUCACCCCGAGAAGCGAUCCCCUCUCCCCAGGGCGCUGCUCCUGCUGCCGCUGCUGCGGCUGCUGCUGACCGAGGCCCGCCCGCGACCCCCGCGCCCUGCCGAGCGGCCUUGCAGCUGCAGCCCCGGGCCGCGGCCGCGGCGGCGGCGGGGGCGGAGGCGGCGGAGGAGGAGGCGGCGCGCGAAGGCGGCGGGGGCCGGCGGGGACCCGAGGCGGGGGAGGAGGA